Molecule: long non-coding RNA, 483 nt
Filed under: Nicotiana benthamiana
Lineage: Eukaryota; Viridiplantae; Streptophyta; Magnoliopsida; Solanales; Solanaceae
Description: long non-coding RNA (NBEN_LNC006027)
Source: RNAcentral
AUUGCAUUGAAGCCAGGACCGUCACCCAUAAUGUACACAACUAAGGCACACUUCCAUUUAGCUUCCUCCUCCUCUACUUCAGUUUUUUCCAGUUGUACCAUUGGUUUCCCAUCGACCAUCAUUGGGGGAAUGUAAUCAAGAGCCAUACCAUGUGUCGCAAAGCGAUUCUUCUGAAAGAGUGUUGACCAGCUCUUCUGGUUUAGCUUUGGUAGGUCCUGUUUGCUCCUCCGGUGGUAAUGUUGGUUGCAUGGUGGUCUCUAUGGCAUCAGUUGCUUCUACUGCAUUUGGAGUGGUUGAUAUGCCUCCAAUCUCUGGUGUCUCAUGUGCUUCCGUAAUUGUUUCUACUAGUGGCACUGAUUGCGUUAUCACUUAUGCUGGAGCUUGCUCGCCGGAAUCCAUGGUGUCUAGGGUUUGCGAUUGAGGCAAACUCUGCACCUCCUUGGCAUUGUUCUUCUCCAUAAUCAAUAGAUUUAGUUUGUCAAA